CUCCGUCACAGCAACUGCAGUGCACAAUAUGUCAGCAACUGCUUUCUUCGUCGUUUUACUGUUCUCAAUCAUGACCAAAUAUUUUUACAUAGAGUUGUGUAUCAACUCUACUUUUUUCUUCUGUUUGUUAACAUGCCAGUUUUUAUUGAAUGCAAAUUUUUAAAUUUAUUAAUUGUCUAGUAAACUAUGUCGUCAUGCUGAUGGGUGUCGUAUCGGCUCGGACAACCACUGGUGUACUGAUGUCUUCUGGGUUUGGCGGGUAUGAAACCGCGACGCCGCACGUAACUACACCGAGGUCCCCAUGUACUACACCACCAAGUCUCCAGAUUAUUACACCACAACUUCGCUGCCCCGAGCUACUACACCGAAUCCCCGAAAUAUGCCCGAACUACGCCAUCAAAGGGUCGAGCACUACACCGAGGCCCCUAAUUAUUACACCACUACAUAUCAUGGGAGAGAAAAGGCGAUAGAUAUCAGUCGAAUGGUUAUCACCGACAUGGCAGCAACUGCAGUGCAGUAGGUGUAGUCGUCACCAACUGCAUUCUUCGUCGUACCACCAGUUUUGCAAUCAUGGCACGACGCCGCCGUCUUACUAUGCAACAAAAACAUACGACACGACCAGUUACUACACCGAGGCCCCCAAGUAC
Long non-coding RNA from Daphnia pulicaria, 647 nucleotides. RefSeq lists it as uncharacterized. The record is from RefSeq and is a predicted model, not a curated record. NCBI's taxonomy places the organism in Eukaryota, Metazoa, Arthropoda, Branchiopoda, Diplostraca, Daphniidae. The transcript has 3 exons.